GAUGAAGAACGUAGCGAAAUGCGAUAAGUAAUGCGAAUUGCAGAAUUCAGUGAAUCAUCGAAUCUUUGAACGCACCUUGCGCUCCUUGGUAUUCCGAGGAGCAUGCCUGUUUGAGUGUCAUUAAAUUCUCAACCUUAUUGGCUUUUGCUGAUAAUGGCUUGGACUUGGGGGUCUUUUUGCUGGCUUUCAUUAGUCUGCUCCCCUUAAAUGUAUUAGCCGGUGCCCCGCAGUGGAACCGUCUAUUGGUGUGAUAAUUAUCUACGCCGUGGACGUCUGCUAUAAUGGGUUUGCGCUGCUUCUAACCGUCUCUCGGGACAACACAAAUGACAAUUUGACCUCAAAUCAGGUAGGACUACCCGCUGAACUUAAGCAUAUCAAUAAGCGGAGGA
RNAcentral lists this unclassified non-coding RNA (389 nucleotides) under soil metagenome. RNAcentral's name for it is "partial contains 5.8S ribosomal RNA, internal transcribed spacer 2, and large subunit ribosomal RNA". The stretch from base 1 to 120 matches the Rfam family "5.8S ribosomal RNA", at positions 35 to 154 of the family's 154-position model. The record is from RNAcentral.